AUGGCUCAGGAUGAACGCUAGCUACAGGCUAACACAUGCAAGUCGAGGGGCAGCAUGGGGUAGCAAUACUCAGAUGGCGACCGGCGCACGGGUGAGUAACACGUAUCCAACCUGCCGCUUACUCGGGGAUAGCCUUUCGAAAGAAAGAUUAAUACCCGAUGGUAUAAAGAGUUCGCAUGUUCUCUUUAUUAAAGAAUUUCGGUAAGCGAUGGGGAUGCGUUCCAUUAGAUAGUUGCGGGGUAACGGCCCACCAAGUCUACGAUGGAUAGGGGUUCUGAGAGGAAGGUCCCCCACAUUGGAACUGAGACACGGUCCAAACUCCUACGGGGGGCAGCAGUGGGGAAUAUUGCACAAUGGGGGAAACCCUGAUGCAGCAACGCCGCGUGAGUGAUGACGGCCUUCGGGUUGUAAAGCUCUGUCUUCAGGGACGAUAAUGACGGUACCUGAGGAGGAAGCCACGGCUAACUACGUGCCAGCCGCCGC
RNAcentral lists this ribosomal RNA (483 nucleotides) under uncultured bacterium. RNAcentral's name for it is "bacterial SSU rRNA". It matches the Rfam family "Bacterial small subunit ribosomal RNA", at positions 19 to 518 of the family's 1533-position model. The record is from RNAcentral.